This 2122-nucleotide long non-coding RNA is filed under the name Nicotiana tabacum (common tobacco). RNAcentral's name for it is "long non-coding RNA (NTAB_LNC007127)". Lineage: Eukaryota; Viridiplantae; Streptophyta; Magnoliopsida; Solanales; Solanaceae. The record is from RNAcentral.
CAACAUGUAUCACAUAGGGAUGAUUGAAUGUCUUUUUGGGCCACGAGUCCAUUUUUGACAAAAUUUGGAUAGGCUUCCAACAAUGGGACACGGUGCCUGGGAUCGAACCCUCCUAGGUUUAAAUGAUAUGAUGUACAUAAGCAUGACCUAAAGGCUGACUUACGGUUGGGGCUCACUAGACAAGGCAAUUCCGGGCGACACGUGGUCGAUGGCGGCUGCUCUAGCUGUCCGCCCACUCCACGCUCAAACGUACUCCAGAAGACUGGUUGCAGAAAGAAGACUCAUGCUUAUGAUGAAAGUUUAUAAAACAGUAACACAUAAAGGAAAACUGUAAAUAAAUAAGCAUCUAGCAAAUAAUAAAAAGGCAUAAACAAAAAUAAAUUCAAAUAAAGCAAAAAAAACACAUAAAAACCUCAACCUAAUAUCCUAAAAGCCAACAAGAUCAAGUACUAGCUCGAACCUGCAAUUUUCCAGCAGAGUCGCCAGAGAUGUCACACCCCUUUUUUAACAAAACUCUCACUAAACCCUCCUAAAUUAAUAAAAAGAUUUAGUAAAAGCUUGAAAAAAGGUUUUCAAUUUGAAAAGUGACAAAAUUGUGUGUUCAAAAGGAUUAACACAGAGUCGCCACCUGAUAUUUGAUUUCGGUGUGUCAGGUCACCAGUUGUCCAAAAGUAAUAAUUUUCCUUUCAAAACACUUUAAACUCUAAAACUAAGUCUACACCAGAGAUUUGGGUAAGGGGGUUCAUUUGACUCGGGGAGAAGGUUUUAGGCACUCCCCAAGUUCCGUGAAGGUCAUGGUUGCGUACUCGAUCUAGUUGGCUUUUAAAAUGUUCGAAUUGAGGCGAAAUCACACAAAAAAAGGAAAAUAAACACGAAAGAUGCUCGAGGUCGUCCCCACCUAAAAUAAAGAAAAGAAAAAUGAAAAUAAAAUAAAAUACUAAGUGUUUAUACUUUUGGCCUCCAUUUACAUUCACUUCGGGGCAUACCCCGGAUAAAAAUAUAUACAAAGUCAACGGGGCAUUCCCUGGAUAAAUUUAACUAAGGAAACGAUCUCUCGCCUCAAAACUACAAAAUCCUAAGGCUUGCCUAUCCAUGUAUUGCCGGCCUAAGCAUGCUCCGACCGAUUAAUUAGUAAAUAGAUCUACGCAAGUGAAAAAUUUAGAACAUUGACAACUUAUGUUUUACCUCAUUGCGUAACUUUAGAUCCAAUCUUAUUUUAAAGCACAUCUCCAAAGAUUAUCCUCUUAAACUCAACAACUAGUAGUCAGAUUUGUCCAAAUUCACAAAUUUACGCUAACAAACAUAUUUUUCAUAGGCUAUAGGAAUCAAAUAAUCUCAAGUGACUAAACAUGGAUCAACUUCUUGAAAUAGUACGUGCCCAUGAGAGACCAAGCAAUGAGAACAAACAUGAACACAUAUUCAAAUCAUUAAUAUGAUUCCUAAACCAAGCACAUUCAAAUCACUAAUUAUAUAACACAGAUUAAAUGCAAUCUAAACCAAAGCUCCAUAUCAUAUUUUUAUAUCACAAAAUGAAAGAAGUAAUAAGAGAAUGAAGAGAUGGACCUUUCGACAAUGGAACGGGAACCAUGACUAGCGAUGCCGAACGGAACACCUAUCGACCUCGACUCUCCAUCGAUGACUGAAGUUGACAACUGUUGCAUCUGGAAUUUCCACUUCCAACCCAAAAUCGUCACCAAUCGAAGACUGAAUAAUGACAAACCAAGCUCUAAUAAAGGCGACGUGAGUUCUUUAGCUACUUAAGAGCCGCUGCUGCUGGUUUUCGAUGAUUUGGCGGCCAUUGGUGCUAUUUUUGGUGAGUCCGGUGGUGGAGGAACAACAGCUGAUCUACUGCGAAGGUGAAGGAGAAGAACCGGGGGUGUGCUGGUGUGUGAUGAAGGAGCAAAAGGUGGUCAGUGACAGUUGAAGGUGGCGUGGAUGCUGGUCGGCUAUGGUGUUUUAGAGAUCAGAGGUUGGGCGGCCAUGGGAGUCUCUUGUCUUCAUGAAGAAGAAUCUAGGGCCAUUGGAGAAGAUGACUGGAGAAGACGCGAUCUGGGUGGCUCUGUUGAUGUCUUCAAUUAGGGUUCUAGGUUUUGUUUUGUUCUUUUUUAAUGAGGAAGAUGGC